CAGUUCAGAGAAGAUUAGCAUGGCCCCUGUACAAGGAUGGCAUGCAACUUCAUGAAGCAGUCCAUAUUUUC
This 71-nucleotide small nuclear RNA is filed under the name Vulpes vulpes (red fox). Lineage: Eukaryota; Metazoa; Chordata; Mammalia; Carnivora; Canidae. The record is from RNAcentral.